Molecule: non-coding RNA, 1077 nt
Organism: Callithrix jacchus (white-tufted-ear marmoset)
Lineage: Eukaryota; Metazoa; Chordata; Mammalia; Primates; Cebidae
Source: RefSeq, a predicted model, not a curated record
GAACUCCUGAGUCUGCCGGGAGACCCCUGCCCGGAUGACCUCAGCCGUGUAGACCCCUGCAUCAUCCAGCUGGGCAGAGGAGAGCUCCAGAACCCCCCGGGCCUGGUCAAAUCGCAGGCGGUCUCGGGACUGAUCUGGAAAUUUCCAGCUGGGAGGUUUGAUGGAGGGAACUUCUGCACGCAGCCCCUGCGAAGAGCUCUUUGAGUCCGAAGAGAAGGAAGAGGAGUAGUUGGUUUGCUGAAGUCCAGAAGAGAAUCUGAGGGUGAGAACCCCUACCAAGGAGGCUGCAGAGAAGAGGGGAAGGCAUUGGGGGAGGCUGCUCAGGGAGACUGGCUGGGAGGGGACUGUGCAGGAAACUUACCCAGGAGAAAGAAGAGUGGCAGAGCCUGUGGGGUGUCCAUGGUGCUGGCCUUACUGAAAGGACACUGGAGCAAGACCCAGGACUGCACCUCUCCCUCCCGGAUGAGACAAGUCUAACAGGACUGGUAGCUUAGCUUCCUGGGAGGGGAAGGGAGCCAGACCCAGAGGGAGGUGCCAGGAUCCCCAACCCUGAUGUGGUGGCUGAGCUGCCCACCCCACCCCAUUCUCUUCAUUAGCUGGUCCCACCUGCAGGGAGGCUCAGCCUGAUCCCUGCACUCCCCACCCACAGGUGGAAAAUGAAGUAAAAAUUCCCAGGUAAAAAUGUGGUAGCAAAUUUGUGGGGCAAAGCCAGGAAGACUUCCUGGAGGAGGGUGAGGAGACCUUUCUCAGAGCCCCACCUCUGAGGGCCACAGCCUCCUGGCCCCUUCCACUCUGUCUUGCCUGCAGCCUCAGAUACCCACAUCUAAUCCUGCUCCUCCUCUGCUCUAAACCCUCCCAUGGCUCUCUGUUGCCCUCAGAACCAAGUCUCCAGGUGCUAUUUCCUGCCAGGGCCUCUAUCCUGAGAUCAGAGCUGCAUUUCUGCAUCCCCAAGGCCCUCAUAUGGCCUGUGUCCUGCUAAACUCAGAAUCUUUCCUCUAACCCAAACUUCCUCCUACCUCCAGAAUGGCUUCACCAUCUUUGAAAACGCUGGGAAACAUUCCCAUCUCCUCCCUCCCC